AUUGAACGCUGGCGGCAGGCCUAACACAUGCAAGUCGAGCGGAUGAAGGGAGCUUGCUCCUGGAUUCAGCGGCGGACGGGUGAGUAAUGCCUAGGAAUCUGCCUGGUAGUGGGGGAUAACGUCCGGAAACGGGCGCUAAUACCGCAUACGUCCUGAGGGGGAAAGUGGGGGAUCUUCGGACCUCACGCUAUCAGAUGAGCCUAGGUCGGAUUAGCUAGUUGGUGGGGUAAAGGCCUACCAAGGCGACGAUCCGUAACUGGUCUGAGAGGAUGAUCAGUCACACUGGAACUGAGACACGGUCCAGACUCCUACGGGAGGCAGCAGUGGGGAAUAUUGGACAAUGGGCGAAAGCCUGAUCCAGCCAUGCCGCGUGUGUGAAGAAGGUCUUCGGAUUGUAAAGCACUUCAAGUUGGGAGGAAGGGCAGUAAGUUAAUACCUUGCUGUUUUGACGUUACCAACAGAAUAAGCACCGGCUAACUUCGUG
RNAcentral lists this ribosomal RNA (484 nucleotides) under uncultured bacterium. RNAcentral's name for it is "partial 16S ribosomal RNA". It matches the Rfam family "Bacterial small subunit ribosomal RNA", at positions 30 to 507 of the family's 1533-position model. The record is from RNAcentral.